UCCAGUGGCUUCUUCUGACCUCUGUGGGCCCCAGGCACACAGGUACUCUGCACAUGCACAUGCAGGCACACAGGUACUCUGCACAUGCACAUGGCGGCACACAGGUACUCUGCACAUGCACAUGCAGGCACACAGGUACUCUGCACAUGCACAUGCAGGCACACAGGUAAUCUGCAUAUGCACCAGGAAUUCAGGUACUCUGCAUAUGCACAUGCAGGCACACAGGUACUCUGCACAUGCACAUGCAGGCACAAGGUAAUCUGCAUGUGCAUCAGGCACACAGGUACUCUGCACAUGCACAUGCAGGCACACAGGUACUCUGCACAUGCACAUGCAGGCACACAGGUACUCUGCACAUGCACAUGCAGGCACACAGGUACUCUGCACAUGCACAUGCAGGCACACAGGUACUCUGCACAUGCACAUGCAGGCACACAGGUACUCUGCACAUGCACAUGCAGGCACACAGGUACUCUGCACAUGCACAUGCAGGCACACAGGUACUCUGCACAUGCACAUGCAGGCACACAGGUACUCUGCACAUGCACAUGCAGGCACACAGGUACUCUGCACAUGCACAUGCAGGCACACAGGUACUCUG
This is a long non-coding RNA of Apodemus sylvaticus (European woodmouse), 601 nucleotides long. RefSeq lists it as uncharacterized. The transcript has 3 exons. NCBI's taxonomy places the organism in Eukaryota, Metazoa, Chordata, Mammalia, Rodentia, Muridae. The record is from RefSeq and is a predicted model, not a curated record.